Molecule: ribosomal RNA, 681 nt
Filed under: Dinophysis parvula
Lineage: Eukaryota; Dinophyceae; Dinophysales; Dinophysaceae
Description: LSU rRNA
Rfam family: Eukaryotic large subunit ribosomal RNA
Source: RNAcentral
UCAACUACCAGGAUUCCCCUAGUAAUGGCGAAUGAACAGGGAAGAGCUCAAAUCUAUAACCGUGUUCACGGAUACGGAAUGUGGCCUCGUGUGCGUUCACCAGCUGCUCCUACGUCGUUAGUUGUUUGGAACAACACAUAAUCACGGGUGAAAAUCCCAUCUGUCGACCUUAUGGAGGCGCGUACGGUGUGCGUUCCCCGAGUCGCGCACCCUGGGACGGGUGCGUAAAUUCGGUGGUAAGUUUCAUCGAAAGCUCAAUAUUUCCUCGAGUCCGAUAGCCGAACAAGUACCAUGAGGGAAAGGUGAAAAGUACUUUGAAAAGAGAGUUAAACGUGCCUGAAAUCGUUGUGAAUCAAGCGAUUGGAAUCAACGUCGUUAAGGAAUUGGGGCGCAAAUUGUUUCAUCCUGCUUUGACGAGUUUUCGUCCUGGUUGGUUUGGCGCGGUUUGUUGUUCCGGAUCCCUUGAAGACAUCUGACACUGGUGGAUGAGCCGUCUACACCGCCGUUUGAAAUUCCUUCGGGAUGAUCCUUCGGAAGUGGCGGCUUUUGCACUGGCGGUACGCAUAUUUUUGGACCGUUCUGGAUUUCUGAAUUCGUUAUUCUCUGUCGUAUUUUCGGCUUGAAUGCGAGUGAUGAAAAAAGGGGCUCGAAAAGAUAUGUGGUGUCAGACCCGCAGUCCAU